UGGGGAAUAUUGGGCAAUGGGGGCAACCCUGACCCAGCGACGCCGCGUGGGGGAAGACGGCCUUCGGGUUGUAAACCUCUUUUGUACGGGAAGAAGGAAGUGACGGUACUGUACGAAUAAGUCCCGGCUAACUACGUGCCAGCAGCCGCGGUAAUACGUAGGGGACGAGCGUUGUCCGGAAUUACUGGGCGUAAAGGGCGCGCAGGCUGUGCUGCAAGUCAGCUGUUAAAUGUCUGGGCUUAACCCGGGCAUGCGAUUGAGACUGCAGUGCUGGAGUGCUGUAGAGGCAAGUGGAAUUCCCAGUGUAGCGGUGAAAUGCGUAGAUAUUGGGAAGAACACCGGUGGCGAAGGCGACUUGCUGGGCAGCAACUGACGCUGAGGCGCGAAAGCCAGGGGAGCAAACGGG
Molecule: ribosomal RNA, 406 nt
Filed under: uncultured bacterium
Lineage: Bacteria
Description: bacterial SSU rRNA
Rfam family: Bacterial small subunit ribosomal RNA
Source: RNAcentral